AGUGAACGCUGGCGGUAGGCCUAAUACAUGCAAGUCGAACGGCAGCACAGUAAGAGCUUGCUCUUACGGGUGGCGAGAGGGGGACGGGAGAGGUAUACAACGGACUCUACUUUUCUGUGGGGGAUAACGUAGGGAAACUUACGUUAAUACUGCAUACGACCUACGGGUGAAAGCAGGGGAUCUUCGGACAUUGAGUGAUGGAAUGAGCUGAUGUCGAAUAAGAUAGUUGGCGGGGUAAAGGCCAACCAAGGCGACGAUCUGUUGCUGGGCUGAGAGGAUGAGCAGCCACGCUAGAACUGGAACACGGUCCAGACUCCUACGGGAGGCAACGGUGGGGAAUAGUAGACAAGGCGCGGAAGCCUGAUCCAACCGUACCGCGUGGGGGGAGAAGGGCCUCGGGUUGUGAAGCCCUUUUGUUGGGAAAGAAAAGCAGCAGGUUAAUACCCCGCUGUACUGACGGUACCCAAAGAGUAAGCACCGGCUAACUUCGUG
RNAcentral lists this ribosomal RNA (492 nucleotides) under uncultured bacterium. RNAcentral's name for it is "partial 16S ribosomal RNA". It matches the Rfam family "Bacterial small subunit ribosomal RNA", at positions 29 to 507 of the family's 1533-position model. The record is from RNAcentral.